Molecule: long non-coding RNA, 10352 nt
Filed under: Homo sapiens (human)
Lineage: Eukaryota; Metazoa; Chordata; Mammalia; Primates; Hominidae
Description: non-protein coding EP300-AS1:7
Source: RNAcentral
AGCGCGUGCCCGCCCGGCGCCCUCUAGGGUGGAAGGCUGCGGGCGUCCUACCAGUGCCAGGACUGCCAGAGCGGGAGGAGCGCGGCGCGGGCCAGCCGGGACUGCUGGACAGCGGGGUCCAGGCUAGAGGCGAGCGAGCGGUCAGUGACGGCUGUGGAGGAGGGAGGCGCUGGGCGUCAGCGCGGGACCCGAGCCUCUGGACCACUGAGCUGGGGGGCUGGCUGAGGUCCACCUCCUAACAAAUUAUUGGAAGGAAUAUGAGAAAAAAAUGCAGAGUCUCACUGUGUUGCUCAGGCAGGUCUCUAGACUCCUGGACUCAAGCCAUCCUCCUGCCUCUGCCUCUCAAAGUGCUGAGAUUACAGGUGUGAGCCACUGCGCUCAGGUUAAAGUGUGAUCAGUUUGAAAUUCAGCUAACCCAGCAGCUAUGGUCCCUCAUCCCCAAUGAGGAUGUGAGAAGGUUCAUGUCUCAUGUUAUCUGGACCUUGAAAAUGGAAUGUUCAGAAACACAUGUGCAAGGGACCUGUGCCAAGCUCAUGUCACGAACAGGCCUCCUGAUGAAGCUUCUCAGCGAGCAGCAGGAAGCAAAGGCAUCCAAGGCAGAAUGGUCUGUAGACCAAUGGAAAACUGAUGAGACUCCAUCUUAAAAAAAAAAGAAAAAAAAAAUGGCCAGCAGGAUGCAGUGGCUCAUACCUAUAAUCCCAGCACUUUGGGAGGCUGAGGCAGGUGGAUCACCUGAGGUCAGGAGUUCGAGCCCAGUCUGGCCAACAUGGUGAAACCUCAUCUCUACUAAAAAUACAAAAAUUAGCCAGGCAUGGUGGCUUGUGCCUAUAGUACCAGCUACUGGGGAGGCUGAGGCAGGAGAAUUGCUUGAACCUGGGAGGCACAGGUUGCAGUGAGCCGAGAUCACACCACUGCAUACUUCAGCCUGGGCGACAGAGCAAGACUCCAUCUCAAAAAAAAAAAAAAAAAAAAAAAAAAAGGCUGGGUGCCAUGGCUCACGCCUGUAAUCCCAGCAAUUUGGGAGGCCGAGGCGGGCAGAUCACCUGAGGUCAGGAGUUCGAGACUAGCCUGACCAACAUGGAGAAACCCCAUCUCUACUAAAAAUACAAAAUUAGCCAGGCAUGGUGAUGCAUACCUGUAAUCCCAGCUACUCGGGAGGCUGAAGCAGGAAAAUCGCUUGAAUCUGGGAGGUGGAGGUUGCAGUGAGCUGAAAUCACGCCAUUGCACUCCAGCCUGGGCAACAAAAGCAAAACUUUGCCUUAAAAAAAAAAAAAAGAAAUGGCCAAACUUUUUUCCAAAAUAGUUUCACUAUUUUUACAUUCUACCAGAAUUAGAUGAGAGUUUCCAUUGCUUUAUAUCAUUACUAACAUUUGGUAUUGUCCAACAUUUUGUUUUAGCCUUUUUUGUGAGUAUGACUGGUGUCUCAUUGUGGCAUUCAAAUUUAUUGAGAUAUAAUUUAUAUACAAUAAAUCCAUCUUUUUUAAAUCAAUGAGUUUUGACAGACGUACACAGUUGUGAAAGCACCACCAUCACUUCCAUCACCCCAAAAAGCUCCUUUGUGCCUCUUGCCCUUUCCCAACUACUUCCCCCUCGAAACCACUGCUUUCCUUUAUUGUCUUUUCUCGAAAUCCAUAUGGGAUUUACUCUUUUGCAUCUGGCUUUUUUUUUUCUUUUUUUUUUUUUUUUUUGGCUAGUUAUGAUUACUCAUUUUAUUUUAUUUUAUUUUUGUAGAGACAAGUGUCACUAUGUUGCCCAGGCUGGAGUCAAACUCCUGGUCUCAAGCGAUCCUCCUGGCUCGGCCUCCCACAGUGCUGGGAUUACAGGUGUGAGGCACUGCACCCAGCAAAUCUGGCUCUUUUCAUUUAGCAUAACGCUUUCAGAUUCAUUCAUGUUGUUUAUUUGCUCUUUGUUCCUUUUGAUUGCUGGGUGAUAAUGCAUUGUUUGAAUGUAUCACGAUUGUUUACGCUGUUAGUAGCUGUUAGGUAUUCCAGUGGUUCCUAUCGUUUGGCUAUUUUUAAUAAUGCUAUCAAAUGCUAUCAACAGUCACAUGAGGGUCUUUGUGUGGACAUAUGUUUUUAUUUCUCUUGGGUAAAUAUCUAGACAUGAGAUUGCUAAGUGGUAUGUUAAAUGUAUUUUAUUUUUGAUACAUAUCUAUAUUUAUUUUAAUUUUUUGAGAGGGAAUCUCACUCUGUCAUCCAGGCUGGAGUGCACUGCUGCGAUCUCGGCUCACUGCAACCUCCCUCUCCCGGGUUCAAGCGAUUCUUGUGCCUCAGCCUCCCGAGUAGCUGGGACUACAGGCGAGUGCCACCAUGUUGGGCUAAUUUUGUAUUUAUAGUGCAGACGGGGUUUCGCCAUGUUGGCCAGGCUGGUCUUGAACUCCUGACCUCAAAUGAUCCGUCCGCCUCAGACUCCCAAAGUGCUGGGAUUACAGGGGUGAGCCACCGCACCUGGCCUGAAUUGCUUAUACUUUUGAUGAACAUUUGUGUAUGUGUUUUUGUGUGAACAUAUGUUUUCAGUUCUCUUGGGUGUAUACUCAGGAGAAUUGCUGGGUCCUAUGGUAACUCUGUUGAACUUUUUUUUUUUCUUUUUUUUUUUGAGACGGAGUCUUGCUCUGUUGCCAGGCUGGAGUGGAGUGGCACAAUCUCAGCUCACUGCAACCUCCGCCUCCCGGGUUCAAGCAAUUCUCUGCCUAAGUCUCCCGAGUAGCUGGGACUAUAGGCGUGUGCCACCGCACCCAGCUAAAAUUUUUGUAUUUUUAGUAGAGAUGGGGUUUCACCAUGUUGGUCGGGAUGGUCUCGAUCUCUUGACCUCGCGAUCUGCCUGCCUCGGCCUCCCAAAGUGCUGGGAUUACAGGCGUGAGCCACCGCGCCCGGCCAACUCUGUUGAACUUUUUAGAGGAACUGCUAGACUGUUUUCCAUUUUCCAUGAUCACUAGCAGUGUAUGAGGGUUCUAGUUUCUCCCUAUUCUAGCCAAUACUUGGUAUUGUCCUUUGGACUACUGCCAUCUGAGUGGGUGUGAAGCAGUAUCUCAUUUUGGUUUGACCUGCAUUUCCCUAAUGACUAACGGUUUUGAGCAUCUUUUGGUGUGCUUAUUGGCCAUUUGUAUAUGUUCUUUGGAGAAAUAUCUACUAAAAUCCUUUGCCCAUUUAAAAAACUAUAUUACUCCUUUUUUAAUUGUUGAGAGUAAGUUUGUUUUUCUUUUUUUUUUUUUUUUUUUUUUUUUUUGAGGUGGAGUCUUGCUCUGUCCCCCAGGCUGGAGUGCAGUGGCGAGAUCUCUGCUCAUGCAAGCUCCACCUCCCGGGUUCACACCAUUUUCCUGCCUCAGCCUCCUGAGUAGCUGGGACUACAGGCGCCUGCCACCACGCCUGGCUAAUUUUUUGUAUUUUUAAUACAGACGGGUUUUCACCAUGUUAGCCAGGAUGGUCUCGAUCUCCUGACCUCGUGAUCCCAAAGUGCUGGGAUUACAGGCGUGAGCCACCGUGCCUGGCCUUUUUUUUUUUUUUUUUUUUGAUACUGAGUCAUGCUCUUGUCACCCAGGCUGGAGUACAAUGGCGCGAUAUUGGCUCACUGCAACCUUUGCCUCCCGGGUUUAAGCAAUUCUGCUGCCUCAGUUUCCUGAGUAGCUGGGAUUACAGGCACCUGCCACUGUGCCUGGCUAAUUUUUUUUUUUUUUUUAGUUGAGACAGGGGUUUCACCAUGUUAGCCAGGCUGGUCUCAAACUCCUGACCUCAGGUGAUCUGCCCGCCUCAGCUUCCCAAAAUGCUGGGAUUACAGGCAUGAGCCACUGUGCCCGGCCGAAAUUUUUAAGUAUAGUCUAGAUACAGAAAUAUGUGAUCUGCAAAUAUAUGCUCCCAUUCUGUAUAUCUUUUUACUUCUUUGGUCAUGUCCUCUGAUGCAUGAAAGUUUUGAGGUCUAAUUUGUUUUUUCUUUGGUUGCUUGUGCUUUUUAGGUGUUAUAUCUAAGAAACCAUUGCCUAUUCCAAGAUCAUGAAAAUUUAUAACUAUAUUUUCUUUUUUUUUCUUUCUUUCUUAGAUGGAGUUUCACUCUUGUCACCCAGGCUGGAGUGCAAUAGAGCGAUCAUGGCUCACUGCAACCUCUGCCCCCCGGGUUCAAGCGAUUCUCCUGCCUCAGCCUCUCAAGUAGCUGGGAUUACAAGUGCCCACCACCACGCCCAGCUAAUUUUUGUAUUUUUAGUAAAGAUGGGGUUUCACCACAUUGGCCAGGCUGGUCUCUAACUCCUGACCUCACGUGAUUCAUCCAUCUCAGCCUCCCAAAGUGCUGGGAUUACAGGCAUGAGCCACUGUGCCUGGCCUAUACUUAUAUUUUCUUCUGUGAUUUUAAUAUUUUAGUGUUUAUGUUUUGGUCUAUGAUCCAUUUUGAGUAAAUUUUUAUAUUUGGUAUAAGGUAGGGGUCCAACUUUAUUUAUUUUUGAGAUGGAGGCUUACUCUAUUGCCCAGGCAGGCAUGCAAUGGUGCGAUCCAGCUCACUGCAACCUCUGUGUCCCAGGCUCAAGUGAUUCUCCCACCUCAGCCAUCUGAGUAGCUCGGAUUACAGGCCCCAUCACUAUGGUAAUUUUUAAAUUUUUAGUAGAGACGGGGUUUCACCAUGUUGGCCAGGCUGGUCUCGAACUCAUGACCUCAAGUGAUCUGCCCGCCUCUGCCCUACAAAGUGCUGGGAUUACAGGCGUGAGCCACCGUGCCUGGCCUCCAGCUUUAUUCUUUUUUUUUUUUUUUUUUUGAGACAGAGUCUUGUUCUGUCACCCAGGCUGGAGUGCUGGAGUGCAGUGGCGCGAUCUCGGCUCACUGCAAGCUCCGCCUCCUGGGUUCACGCCAUUCUCCUGCCUCAGCCUCCCGAGUAGCUGGGACUACAGGCGCCUGCCACCACGCCUGGCUAAUUUUUUGUAUUUUUAGUAGAGAUGGGGUUUCUCCAUGUUAGCCAGGAUGGUCUCGAUCUCCUGACCUCGUGGUCUGCCUGCCUCGGCCUCCCAAAAGUGCUGGGAUUACAGGCGUGAGCGACCAUGCCCGGCCAACUUUAUUCUUUUAGAUGUGGAUGUCUAGUUGUUCCAGAAGUAUCUGUUAAAAAUGUUACUCUUUCUCCAUUGGAUUAUUUUGGCAACCUUAUAAACAAUCAAUUGACCAUAAAUGUAUGGAUUUAUUUCUGGAUUGUCAGAUCUAUUCCAGUGAUCUAAAUGUCUGUCCUUAUGCCAGUACCAUAGAGUCUUGAUUACUAUAGCUUCAUGGUAAGUUUUCAAAUCAAGAAGUGUGAGUGCUCCAAAUUUGUUUUUAUUUUUCAAGAUUAUUUUGGCUGUUCUGGCUUCUUUGGAUUUUCAUAUGUAUUUUAGGGUCAGCCUUUCAGCUGGGCAUGGUGGCUCACGCUUGUAAUCCCAGCACUUUGGGAGGAGUUCAAGAUUAGCAUGACAAAAUCCCAUCUCUACAAAACAAAAAACAAAACAAAAGAAACAUUAGCCAGGCUUGGUGGCAUGUGCCUGUGGUCCCAGCUACUCAGGAAGCUGAGUAGCUUCCCGAGGCAGGAAGAUCACUUGAGACCAGGAGGUGGAGGUUUCAGUGAGCUGAGAUCGUGCCACUGUACUCCAGCCUGGGUAAUGGAGACAGACCCUGUCUGAAAACAAAAAAAUUUUUUAAAUAGGCUUUUGUUUUUUAUUUUAUUUAAUUUUUGACACAGGGUCCACUCUGUAGCUCAGGCUGGAGUGCAGUCGUGUGAUCUCAGCUCCCUGCAUCCUCCGCCUUUUGGGUUCAAGCAGUCCUCCCGUCUCAGCCUCCCGAGUAGCUGGGACUUACAGGCGUGUGUCACCACACCCAGCUAAUUUUUGUAUUUUUAGUAGAGGUGACCAUAUUGGCCAGGCUGGUCUUGAACUGACUUCAGGUGAUCUUCCUGCCUCAGCCUCCCAAACCCAAAGUGCUGGGAUUACAGGUGUGAGCCACUGUGCUCAGCCUGUUAAUUUUUUUUUUUUUUUUUUUUUUGAGACGGAGUCUCACUCUGUCACCUAGGUUGGAAUGCAGUGGUGCCAUCUUGGCCUCACUGCAACCUCCACCUCCCAGGUCCAAGGGAUUCUCCUGCCUCAGCCUCCCAAGUAGCUGGGGUUACAGGCACGUGCCACCAUGCCUGGCUAAUCUUUUGUAUUUUUAGUAGAGAUGGGGUUUCACCGUGUUAGCCAGGACGAUCUCGAUCUCCUGACCUCAUGAUCUGCCUGCCUCGGCCUCCCAAAGUGCUGGAAUUACAGGCAUGAGCCACUGACCCUGGCCCAGGAGUAUUGCUUUAACAAUAUAAGGUUUUCUGAUUUAUAAACAAGAAUGUCUUUCCAUUUAUUUAGGUCCUUAAUUUCUUCCAACAGUCUUUUCUAGUUUUCAAUGUACAAGUUUUUUGCGCUUCUGUUACAUUUAUUCCUGGCCGGGCACGGUGGCUCCGCCUGUAAUCCCAACACUUUGGGAGGCCAAGGCAGGCGGAUCACCUGAGGUCAGGAGUUUGAAACCAGACUGAACAACAUGCAGAAACCCCAUCUCUACUAAAAAUGCAAAAUUAGCUGGGCGUGGUGGUGCAUGCCUGUAAUUCCAGCUACUUGGGAGGCUGAGGCAAGAGAAUUGCUUGAACCCGGGUGGCAGAGGUUGAGGUGAGCUGAGAUCACGCCAUUGCACUCCAGCGUGGGUAACGAGUGAAACGUCUCAAAAAAAAAAUUAUUCCUAACAUUUUAUUCUUCCUUUUUUUUUUUUUGAGACAGAGUCUCGCUCUGUCACCAGGCUGGAGUGCAGUGGCAAGAUCUCGGUUCAAGCCAUUCUCCUGCCUCAGCCUCUUGUGUAGCUGCGACUACAGGUGCAUACCACCAUGCCCAGCUAAUUUUUGUAUUUUUAGUAGAGACAGGGUUUCAUCAUGUUGGCCAGGAUGGUCUCGAUGUCUUGACCUCGUGAUCUGCCUGCCUUGGCCUCCCAAAGUGCUGGGAUUACAGGCAUGAGCCACUGUGCCCGGCCAAUUUUUUUCUUUUUGAUGCCAGCCUUUGUCCUCUGUCUUUAAGUAGGAUGACCUCAUCAUGAACAUAAUACUGUCUGGAGAUGUUUCCUUGGUUGUAAAAUGAGAAGCCUAGGGAGAUUAUUUUUAUGCUUCCUUAGUUGUCCCCUUCCCCUCCACUUUUCAGUGUUUAGUCUGUAUUUUGAGUCUGCUUGAGUGUCCCUAUGACACAUCUGCUGGUUAAUUUGCAGCCACCAGUGGGGCUUCUCUGCUGUAAAGGAGAUAAAGGACAUGGAAAGGAAUGGCUUUGGAGUCCAACAGGCCAUUGUCCUGGUAAGCCUUUUACUGGCUAUGUGAUCUUGAGGACCUUAUUUCACCUGAGCUUGUUUUUCAUUUGUUGAGUGGGGCUGUUAUUGAGGAGUCAGUAAGCGAAGUGAAUGACAGCACCUGGGGCACUGCUAGCACACUGGACCCAUUUCAUAGAUUGAUGUGCUGUAACAGCCCAGGAGGGUCUCACUCGGCCACCCUAGCAGAAAUGCAGUGCCACAAUCAUGGCUUAUAGCAGCCUCGACCUCCUGGGCUCAAGCAAUUCUCCCCCCUCAGCCUCCCAAGUACCUGAGACUACAGGUGUGUGCCACCAUGUUUUUUUUUUUUUUUUUUAAUUAUUUUUUGUAGAGAUGAGGGUCUCACUCUGUUACCCAGGCUGGUCUCCCCACUCCUGGCCUCAAGUAAUCCUUCCUCCCUCAGUCUCCCACAGUGCUGGGAUUACAGGUGGAAACCUGCACCUGGCCUCUUCCUAACUUUUCAUUGUGAACAUCCAAAAAACUACAAACGUUGAAAUCAUCUUAUUAUAUUGCUGACUCUGGAUUAAUCCGUAUCUUCUACCUCCAUAACACUAUUUCUGAUCUGGGAAAGGGCAGCUUUUCCCCCCGCCCUUCUUUUUUUUUUUUUUUUUUUUUUUGAGACGGAGUUUUGCUUGUCUCCCAGGCUGGAGUGCAAGGGCGUGAUCUCGGCUCACUGUAAUCUCCGCCUCCUGGGUUCAAGCUAUUCUCCUGCCUCAGCCUCCUGAGUAGCUGGGAUUACCAGUGCCCGCCACCACGCCCAGCUGUUUUUUUUAGUAGAGAUGGGGUUUCUCCAUGUUAGCCAAGCUGGUAUCGAACUCCUGAACUCAGGUCAUCUACCCGCCUCAGCCUCCCAAAGUGCUAGGAUUACAGGUGUGGGCCACCGUGCCCGGGGCCUAGUUUUGUAUUUUUAGCAGAGACGGGGUUUCACCAUGUUGGCCAGGCUCGUCUUGAUCCACCCAUCUUGGCUUCCCAAAGUGUUGCGAUUACAGGUGUUAGUCACCGUGCCCAGCCUCCUUCCUAUUUAAUGACUUCUGCCCCUACUUCCUGCUUUCAUCAUUGCAGUAAGAAUGCACUGGUCUAACACUUCAACCCGGCUGUCUUUAGCCAGAGGCAGAGCUUUGAAACCUGGGAAUUUACUGCUUGGAAAUGGGAUGGAAUUCUAAACAUUUCCCUUUUGAGGGUUUAUUCACAUGAAUCCUGGGCCCCUAGUCUUAGGGAGCUGGAAGGCCGUAUUUCUGGAACAGGUGUUCACUACUUCCGUUUAUCGGGUCUCAGCCAAGUAGACCUGGAGCUGCUCCCUAGCAGAAUGUGGUGCACUCUUCUGGGCGCCGCCUCCUCUCCUCCUCUUCCUAUCUCUCCUCCAACAUCCAGCUUCCAUGCUACCCUUUCCAGAAACAUUUCCAAUUCCCAUCAGCUAGGUUUUCUUUCAUGGAUUCCCUCUUGCAUUCCUUGCAUAGAUCACUUGGUGCUUUGUACUUUGUCAUGCUGUCUUCUAGACCUUAAGCUGGUUAGGUUGAGGGCAGGGCUGCAUGCUGUUCAUGUGUGCUCUGCCUGGCCUGGCACAGAUGUAGCUGCUCCAUGGAUAUCUGCGGGGUCACUGAGCUGAAGCAGGUGGAUGCUGGAUGCUUGAUACUAGAUACAUUUUCUGGGGCUGGCUCUGAUUAAUGCUGAGUGAGUUCACCUCACAUUAAGAUGCUGGUAAGGUGGCUCAUGCCUGUAAUCCCAGCAAUUUGGGAGGCCAAGGUGGAGGAUCACUUGAGUCCAGGAGUUCGAGACCAGACUGGGUAACAUAGCAAGACCCUGUCUCUAUAAAAAUUUUAAAAAGUCAGCCAGGCAUGAUGGUACACACCUUUGAGUCCCAGCUACUAGGGAGGCUGAGGUAAGAGGACUGCUUCAGCCCAUGAGUUUGAGGCUACAGUGAACUACAAUUGUGCCACUGCAUUCCAGCCUGGGUGACGAGACUGUCUUAAAAAAAAAAGAUGCUGGUUGUUUUCAGACUAAAAUAGUAGCAACAGGUCAACGUAUCUGAAAUCCUUUAGCAGUCAUAUAUGGUUAGUGUAAAUCUCUGUGAUAAAAGAAAGAUCUGGAAUUGAUACCAAAGCAGCUCAGUACUUUUUAGUGUACUAACACAUUUGUUUUAACAACUUGUUCACAGCUACUGCAAUGUUCAGAUGGAGGAUCAAUAAUCUCUCCAUUCUUUGAGCAUCUAGCAUAUUACUGGACUCAUGUGUAAUCUCUCUCAGCCUUCUAGGUUUUAUUUCCACACAUUUUCCUUCCCUUCAACCCGAUUCCAACUGACUUCUUUGUAUUCAGUUAGCAAACAGGAGUGUUCCCCUAGCUUCAUCUUCUCUGUUUUUAAAAGACGGAGUCUUUGGAGUGCAGUGGUGAGAUCCUGGCUAACUGCAACCUCCACCAGGAUCUGAUUCUCCUGCCUCAGCCUCCCAAGUAGCUGGGACGGCAGGUGCCCACCACCACGCCCUGCUGAUUUUUAGUAGAGAUGGGGGUUUCACCAUAUUGGCCAGGCUGGUCUUGAACUCCUGACCUCGUGAUCUGCCUGCCUUGGCCUCCCAAAAUGUUGGGAUUAUAGGCGUGAGCCACCAUGCCUGGCAAGUCUUGUUUUUUCCAAGAAGUUACUUGGGACUUAGGCAGAUAUGAUCCGUCUUCUUAGGUCCUCCUUCUCAUCCCUGUAAGAUGAAGGUGAUUGGAAGACCAUGAGGUCAUCCUUAAGGGGUCCUGUAUCAAGGUGUUAAGUAGGUUAUCACUUCCACCUUGACUGUUAGCUGGUACCUGCAGUACUUUUUCCCAGAACUUUGGAUAAAUUCACCAAGAUCUACUUGUGAAUACAUUAUACGUAGUAGAUUAAAGAGGCUAUAAGCUAAUGCUUUCACUUUUUCCUCUGAAUCCUAAGCAUUAGGCACUUAAAACGGGUGUACUCCAAGACAAAGAUGUGUUAUCAAGUGAAACAAAGUCAGGGUGUCUGUCUCACACAGUUUAUUUAACAAUAGGUAAUAAGAAAUCAAAUUUAACAGUCUAUACAGUGAUCCAAAG